UACGUAGGGGGCAAGCGUUAUCCGGGUUUACUGGGUGUAAAGGGAGCGUAGACGGCUGUGCAAGCCAGAUGUGAAAGCCCGGGGCUCAACCCCGGGACUGCAUUUGGAACUGUGUAGCUGGAGUGUCGGAGAGGCAGGCGGAAUUCCUAGUGUAGCGGUGAAAUGCGUAGAUAUUAGGAGGAACACCAGUGGCGAAGGCGGCCUGCUGGACGAUGACUGACGUUGAGGCUCGAAAGCGUGGGGAGCAAACAGG
This 253-nucleotide ribosomal RNA is filed under the name uncultured bacterium. RNAcentral's name for it is "partial 16S ribosomal RNA". It matches the Rfam family "Bacterial small subunit ribosomal RNA", at positions 524 to 776 of the family's 1533-position model. The record is from RNAcentral.